RNAcentral lists this ribosomal RNA (497 nucleotides) under uncultured bacterium. RNAcentral describes it as "partial 16S ribosomal RNA". It matches the Rfam family "Bacterial small subunit ribosomal RNA", at positions 28 to 507 of the family's 1533-position model. The record is from RNAcentral.
GAUGAACGCUGGCGGCGUGCCUAAUACAUGCAAGUCGAGCGAACAGACGAGGAGCUUGCUCCUCUGACGUUAGCGGCGGACGGGUGAGUAACACGUGGAUAACCUACCUAUAAGACUGGGAUAACUUCGGGAAACCGGAGCUAAUACCGGAUAAUAUAUUGAACCGCAUGGUUCAAUAGUGAAAGACGGUUUUGCUGUCACUUAUAGAUGGAUCCGCGCCGCAUUAGCUAGUUGGUAAGGUAACGGCUUACCAAGGCAACGAUGCGUAGCCGACCUGAGAGGGUGAUCGGCCACCCUGGAACUGAGACACGGUCCAGACUACUACGGGAGGAAGCAGUAUGGAAUCUUCCGCAAUGGGCGAAAGCCUGACGGAGCAACGCCGCGUGAGUGAUGAAGGUCUUCGGAUCGUAAAACUCUGUUAUUAGGGAAGAACAAAUGUGUAAGUAACUAUGCACGUCUUGACGGUACCUAAUCAGAAAGCCACGGCUAACUACGUG